GGGAUGAGAAACAAAUUCUCAAUUGUUGGAAAAACAAAUUCUCAAUUUUAUUAGAUCAAAUCAAUUGUCAAUCAUAGCAAAAGUCUACCAAAAUACCUAGAAAACUAAGAUAUUUAUAGUAGAACUAUUUAUCCUAUUAGCAUUAGGAAUUGGAACCCUAAAUAAGAAAAUACAAAGCAAAUUCUAAUUAGGUAUCCCUAAACAACAUAACUUUCUAAAUAAUAAUAAAAUCCUAAAUAAACUUCCACAUUAAUAAAACCUAAAGUUACUAAUUUACAAUGAAAAAUAAAAUUAAAAUAAUUCCUAAAUUGAAUCUUUCUUGACUGCAUCUUUGAUACUGCAAGUAUUUAUCAUAGUCAGCUCUAGUUAAGGUAACAAAUCAAGGUACCUUAUGAGUCAUAUUAGAUAGUAUGAGAAACUGCUUAAAUAAGCAUGAUUAAAGGGAGCAAAGCUUCCAGAGAGCAGGAAAAAACACUACAAGAGAAAAUGACCAAGAAUCAAAGAGACCAGGUGGGUAUCUACAGCAGUAUAGAUGCACCUCACCGAGGCGAGGUGGCUGGAAGUGAUUUUGCUGGAAUCAGAUGAGCAACACACUCUCAUGAGCCGGAGAGUGGGUCAGAGGUUAGAAGUUUGCGGCAGCACAUGGAGGACUUUUUGGAGACGAGACUACUAGUUGGGCAAUCGGCGGCAGGCACUUCUGGUGGUAUGGGUGUAGCUAGUUGACCCCCAAAUACCCACCAACUUGAAAUAGCAAUACCAUUUCAUACAAGAAAGAAUAAGCUUGAGGGAAAAAAUCAAAGACCUGACUCUAAUAGAAUAUAGAAAUAAAUGUAUAUGAGAAGAAUAUAGAGGAGAGGAUUGAAAAGAAUUGCUGGGUUAUUCCCUCAAGUUUUGGGGUUUUAUAUAUGGUUUGAAAAUACAUCUAAUAGGAUAUCACAAUUAUAGCACAUAAUCAAAGCAUUCACACACGCAUUUACAGCUAGCGUUCUAACAGAAAUAGAACACAUGUAACUCUAUUGAUUAACUAUUUCAUACAGCUCAUAUAUUACUCCAAAUUUAGGGCUUAGCUAAGUUACUAGUUGGUUGAACAGAUAUCAAGGGAAAUUCAAGCUGAUAUCUAAUCUCUUUCCCUGUUCAGGUCAUUUACAUCUUAACAAAUCAAAAUCCAAUAAUAUAAUCCAGAUCAUCAAGUAAUUCAAAUCAUGGAAUUUCAAAAUGAAAAGAGGAAGAAGACAACAGAGUAGUUACACUUGGGAAAGAGAACAAGAAAAACCUGAUAAAUCCUUGAGUGUACA
This 1295-nucleotide unclassified non-coding RNA is filed under the name Hevea brasiliensis (rubber tree). Lineage: Eukaryota; Viridiplantae; Streptophyta; Magnoliopsida; Malpighiales; Euphorbiaceae. The record is from RNAcentral.